Macrobrachium nipponense is the source of this 364-nucleotide long non-coding RNA. RefSeq lists it as uncharacterized. NCBI's taxonomy places the organism in Eukaryota, Metazoa, Arthropoda, Malacostraca, Decapoda, Palaemonidae. The record is from RefSeq and is a predicted model, not a curated record. The transcript has 3 exons.
GGUGUUUGUUGACACAACAACCCAUGUAGACCAGUUGAAUACUGCUGUGACUCCACUUCUCUGUGGGGGCCCUUGUGGGGCUCUUCCCUUAGGUGUAAUCUUCACAUCUUCCCAAGCUGAACAGAGUUAUACCAAAGGUUUUCAACUGCUCAAGAAGGUCUUAGACAAAAGUGCUUUUUAUUAUCAAAACUAUCCAAACUGCUUCAUAACUGACAACAGCGAGGCAGAGCGGAAUGCACUUCGAACAGUCUGGCCGGACUCUCAGCUUUUCCUUUGUGUGUUCCAUGUCCUCCAGCAGGUCUGGAGGUGGCUUUGCAAUGGGUCACACAACAUCAAAAAGGAACAACGUCCACAACUUAUGCAA